GACGAACGCUGGCGGCGUGCUUAACACAUGCAAGUCGAACGGAAAGGCCCUGCUUUUGUGGGGUGCUCGAGUGGCGAACGGGUGAGUAACACGUGAAUAACCUGCCCUUGACUUUGGGAUAACUUUAGGAAACUGGGGCUAAUACCGGAUAGGAGCUCCUGCUGCAUGGGGGGGGUUGGAAAGUUUCGGCGGUUGGGGAUGGACUCGCGGCUUAUCAGCUUGUUGGUGGGGUAGUGGCUUACCAAGGCUUUGACGGGUAGCCGGCCUGAGAGGGUGACCGGCCACAUUGGGACUGAGAGACGGCCCAGACUCCUACGGGAGGCAGCAGUGGGGAAUAUUGCACAAUGGGCGGAAGCCUGAUGCAGCUACGCCGCGUGCGGGAUGACGGCCUUCGGGUUGUAAACCGCUGUCGCCUGUGACGAAGCGUGAGUGACGGUAAUGGGUAAAGAAGCACCGGCUAACUACGUG
This 468-nucleotide ribosomal RNA is filed under the name uncultured bacterium. RNAcentral describes it as "partial 16S ribosomal RNA". It matches the Rfam family "Bacterial small subunit ribosomal RNA", at positions 28 to 507 of the family's 1533-position model. The record is from RNAcentral.